AGAGUUUGAUCCUGGCUCAGAUUGAACGCUGGCGGCAGGCCUAACACAUGCNAGUCGAGCGAACCUAGCUUGCUAGGUGAGCGGCGAACGGGUGAGUAACGCGUAGGAAUCUGCCUGGNUAGUGGGGGACAACGUUCCGAAAGGAACGCUAAUACCGCAUACGCCCUACGGGGGAAAGUGGGGGACCUUCGGGCCUCACGCUAUCAGAGGAGCCUGCGUCGGAUUAGCUAGUUGGUGGGGUAAAGGCCUACCAAGGCGACGAUCCGUAGCUGGUCUGAGAGGAUGAUCAGCCACACCGGAACUGAGACACGGUCCGGACUCCUACGGGAGGCAGCAGUGGGGAAUAUUGGACAAUGGGGGCAACCCUGAUCCAGCCAUGCCGCGUGUGUGAAGAAGGCCUUCGGGUUGUAAAGCACUUUAAGCGGGGAGGAAGGUUCGCUGGCGAAUAACCAGCGGAAUUGACGUUACCCGCAGAAUAAGCACCGGCUAACUCCGUGCCAGCAGCCGCGGUAAUACGGAGGGUGCAAGCGUUAAUCGGAAUUACUGGGCGUAAAGCGCGCGUAGGCGGCUGAGUAAGUCGAUUGUGAAAGCCCCGGGCUCNACCUGGGGAAUUGCAGUCGAGACUGCUCNGCUANAGUGUGGGAGAGGGUGGUGGAAUUCCCGGUGUAGCGGUGANAUGCGUAGAUAUCGGGAGGAACAUCAGUGGCGAAGGCGACCGCCUGGCCC
Molecule: ribosomal RNA, 726 nt
Filed under: uncultured bacterium
Lineage: Bacteria
Description: bacterial SSU rRNA
Rfam family: Bacterial small subunit ribosomal RNA
Source: RNAcentral